UACGUAGGGUGCGAGCGUUGUUCGGAGUUACUGGGCGUAAAGCGUGCGCAGGCGGCCCGUUAAGACAGGUGUGAAAUCCCUGGGCUCAACCUAGGAAUUGCGCUUGUGACUGGCGGGCUCGAGUACGGUAGAGGGGGGUGGAAUUCCUGGUGUAGCAGUGAAAUGCGUAGAGAUCAGGAGGAACACCGAUGGCGAAGGCAGCCCCCUGGGCCUGUACUGACGCUCAUGCACGAAAGCGUGGGGAGCAAACAGG
Molecule: ribosomal RNA, 253 nt
Filed under: uncultured microorganism
Description: partial 16S ribosomal RNA
Rfam family: Bacterial small subunit ribosomal RNA
Source: RNAcentral